Molecule: long non-coding RNA, 836 nt
Filed under: Rattus norvegicus (Norway rat)
Lineage: Eukaryota; Metazoa; Chordata; Mammalia; Rodentia; Muridae
Description: long non-coding RNA NONRATT015345
Source: RNAcentral
UUGCACAUCAUUUCAUUAAAGGGGGGAGGGCAGCGUCAAGCAGGAAAUGUGACAUAAAAACAUGAAGGAUAUCUUAUUUUCACUAUUUGAGAGUAUAUUUUAUUUUUAGUACUGAAGCAUAAUACAUAACUUUUUAUAAUCACUGUGUGCGUUGUGUAGCCCGGCUCUGAUGUGUAUCGUGGAAGGAUCAUGAGUAUACACACGCCACACGGUGGAGCAAGAUGGCUUGCCUGUACUUCCUUCUCUGUUUUUCAUCGGAGAUACAUUCUGCAAAUCCAUUCUAAACGUAAAAACGGACUUGUAACUUUUGUUCAAACCUGAAGAUUUGCAGUAAUGUGCAAAGAUGGGUUCACCCAACCUGUUUAUUAUAACUAAGCAGUAUCAUUUACUCCAUCUACCAUUCUGGGACAUUCCCUUUAAGCAAAGGGCAAUAGGACAUGUCUGUGUAAUGUAUCGUCCGUGAACACUAUAUACAUCGUGUGCCAUAUAGCUGUGGUAGCUAACUGCUAACAUGAAAGGAAAGGGUGGCAAGGAAUAUAGCUAGCUUCCCUGGAGAAGUGUGAAUAGUACCAGUUGUCCAGAGAGAUUUUCCACAUGGGUCUAUGACUGAAGAAGAUGGGCAGGCCUAAGAAAUCUUCAAUUAUCUGAUUUGUAUUUUUAAAAACAAUUCGGUUACUUUUAACUUUUAGAGGGUGAUUGAAAAGGUCCGAUGUCCUGGGAACUUCUUUACUGUAUGAGUUAAAAUAAAAGAAUUGUUUGCUUUAAACAUCUCAAAGCUAAUGACCCUGUCAUUAAAGAAAAUCAUCCAAAGUGUAUUAAAACAGAAAAACACCGAA